Molecule: ribosomal RNA, 492 nt
Filed under: uncultured bacterium
Lineage: Bacteria
Description: partial 16S ribosomal RNA
Rfam family: Bacterial small subunit ribosomal RNA
Source: RNAcentral
AUUGAACGCUGGCGGUAGGCCUAACACAUGCAAGUCGAACGGCAGCACAGUAAGAGCUUGCUCUUACGGGUGGCGAGUGGCGGACGGGUGAGGAAUACAUCGGAAUCUACUUUUUCGUGGGGGAUAACGUAGGGAAACUUACGCUAAUACUGCAUACGACCUACGGGUGAAAGCAGGGGAUCUUCGGACCUUGCGCGAUUGAAUGAGCCGAUGUCGGAUUAGCUAGUUGGCGGGGUAAAGGCCCACCAAGGCGACGAUCCGUAGCUGGUCUGAGAGGAUGAUCAGCCACACUGGAACUGAGACACGGUCCAGACUCCUACGGGAGGCAGCAGUGGGGAAUAUUGGACAAUGGGCGCAAGCCUGAUCCAGCCAUACCGCGUGGGUGAAGAAGGCCUUCGGGUUGUAAAGCCCUUUUGUUGGGAAAGAAAAGCAGCAGGUUAAUACCCCGCUGUUCUGACGGUACCCAAAGAAUAAGCACCGGCUAACUUCGUG